CGCAGAGUGACGGGGCCGUUUUUUCCCCGGUAAUGCGGCAAACCGGUCACAAGCCCGG
Molecule: non-coding RNA, 58 nt
Filed under: unclassified sequences
Source: RNAcentral